UACGUAGGGUGCAAGCGUUGUCCGGAAUUAUUGGGCGUAAAGAGCUCGUAGGCGGCUUGUCGCGUCGGCUGUGAAAACCUGGGGCUCAACCCCGGGCCUGCAGACGAUACGGGCAAGCUAGAAUUCGGUAGGGGAGACGUGGAAUUCCUGGUGUAGCGGUGAAAUGCGCAGAUAUCAGGAGGAACACCGGUGGCGAAGGCGGGUCUCUGGGCCGAUAUUGACGCUGAGGAGCGAAAGCGUGGGGAGCGAACAGG
RNAcentral lists this ribosomal RNA (254 nucleotides) under uncultured bacterium. RNAcentral's name for it is "partial 16S ribosomal RNA". It matches the Rfam family "Bacterial small subunit ribosomal RNA", at positions 524 to 776 of the family's 1533-position model. The record is from RNAcentral.